GACGAACCGUGCAAACGUUAUUCGGAAUCACUGGGCAUAAAGGGCGCGUAGGCGGCUUUCUAAGUCAGGGGUGAAAUCCGGCAGCUCAACUGUCGCAGUGCCUUUGAUACUGGAGAGCUCGAGGGAGGUAGGGGUCUGUGGAACUUCCGGUGGAGCGGUGAAAUGCGUUGAUAUCGGAAGGAACGCCGGUGGCGAAAGCGACGGACUGGAUCUCUUCUGACGCUGAGGCGCGAAAGCUAGGGGAGCAAACGGG
Molecule: ribosomal RNA, 253 nt
Filed under: uncultured bacterium
Lineage: Bacteria
Description: partial 16S ribosomal RNA
Rfam family: Bacterial small subunit ribosomal RNA
Source: RNAcentral